UGGGGAAUAUUGGACAAUGGGCGAAAGCCUGAUCCAGCCAUGCCGCAUGAGUGAAGAAGGCCUUUGGGUUGUAAAGCUCUUUUAGUGAGGAAGAUAAUGACGGUACUCACAGAAGAAGUCCUGGCUAACUCCGUGCCAGCAGCCGCGGUAAUACGGAGAGGGCUAGCGUUAUUCGGAAUUAUUGGGCGUAAAGGGCGCGUAGGCUGGUUAAUAAGUUAAAAGUGAAAUCCCGAGGCUUAAACUUGGAAUUGCUUUUAAAACUAUUAAUCUAGAGAUUGAAAGAGGAUAGAGGAAUUCCUGAUGUAGAGGUAAAAUUCGUAAAUAUUAGGAGGAACACCGGUGGCGAAGGCGUCUAUCUGGUUCAAAUCUGACGCUGAAGCGCGAAGGCGUGGGGAGCAAACA
Molecule: ribosomal RNA, 402 nt
Filed under: uncultured bacterium
Lineage: Bacteria
Description: partial 16S ribosomal RNA
Rfam family: Bacterial small subunit ribosomal RNA
Source: RNAcentral